This 614-nucleotide ribosomal RNA is filed under the name uncultured organism. Its description in RNAcentral is "SSU rRNA". It matches the Rfam family "Bacterial small subunit ribosomal RNA", at positions 841 to 1465 of the family's 1533-position model. The record is from RNAcentral.
AAGCGGCCAAGCGAAAGCGUUAAGUAUUAUCACCUGGGGAGUACGCCGGCAACGGUGAAAAUCAAAGGAAUUGACGGGGGCCCGCACAAGCGGAGGAACAUGUGGUUUAAUUCGAUGAUACGCGAGGAACCUUACCCGGGCUUAAAUUGCAGAUGAAUUACGGUGAAAGCCGUAAGCCGCAAGGCAUCUGUGAAGGUGCUGCGUGGUUGUCGUCAGCUCGUGCCGUGAGGUGUCGGCUUAAGUGCCAUAACGAGCGCAACCCUUGUUGUCAGUUACUAACAGGUUCCGCUGAGGACUCUGACAAGACUGCCAUCGUAAGAUGUGAGGAAGGUGGGGAUGACGUCAAAUCAGCACGGCCCUUACGUCCGGGGCUACACACGUGUUACAAUGGGGGGUACAGAGGGCCGCUACCACGCGAGUGGAUGCCAAUCCCAAAAACCUCUCUCAGUUCGGACUGGAGUCUGCAACCCGACUCCACGAAGCUGGAUUCGCUAGUAAUCGCGCAUCAGCCACGGCGCGGUGAAUACGUUCCCGGGCCUUGUACACACCGCCCGUCAAGCCAUGGGAGCCGGGGGUACCUGAAGUGCGUAACCGCGAGGAGCGCCCUAGGGUAA